RNAcentral lists this ribosomal RNA (497 nucleotides) under uncultured bacterium. Its description in RNAcentral is "partial 16S ribosomal RNA". It matches the Rfam family "Bacterial small subunit ribosomal RNA", at positions 28 to 507 of the family's 1533-position model. The record is from RNAcentral.
GAUGAACGCUGGCGGCGUGCCUAGUACAUGCAAGUCGAGCGAACGGACGAGAAGCCUGCUUCUCUGAUGUUAGCGGCGGACGGGUGAGUAACACGUGGAUAACCUACCUAUAAGACUGGGAUAACUUCGGGAAACCGUAGCUAAUACCGGAUAAUAUUUUGAACCGCAUGGUUCAAAAGUGAAAGACGGUCUUGCUGUCACUUAUAGAUGGAUCCGCGCUGCAUUAGCUAGUUGGUAAGGUAACGGCUUACCAAGGCAACGAUGCAUAGCCGACCUGAGAGGGUGAUCGGCCACACUGGAACUGAGACACGGUCCAGACUCCUACGGGAGGCAGCAGUAGGGAAUCUUCCGCAAUGGGCGAAAGCCUGACGGAGCAACGCCGCGUGAGUGAUGAAGGUCUUCGGAUCGUAAAACUCUGUUAUUAGGGAAGAACAUAUGUGUAAGUAACUGUGCACAUCUUGACGGUACCUAAUCAGAAAGCCACGGCUAACUACGUG